Molecule: non-coding RNA, 3465 nt
Organism: Taeniopygia guttata (zebra finch)
Lineage: Eukaryota; Metazoa; Chordata; Aves; Passeriformes; Estrildidae
Source: RefSeq, a predicted model, not a curated record
ACAAGAAUGAAAACUCAACACACUCAGACUUUCCCUGUCAUUGAAAUUCUUAGUGCUGCCUCAAGGAAAAUCUUUUUUUAUCCAUAACACUGUCUGCCAUCACUCUCCAGAAUUGUCAUCUUCUUCUCGGCCUGACAGCACCUAAUCUUAGCCAAGAGACACCUCACAGUUAUCAAGCCUCCUUCCAUGAACCAUCUUCUGAGGAUGUGGCAGGUGACUCCAUGUUCUCCUCAGCCUGGAGAAACCUGACGACACACAGGUGUUUGCAUUUUAGCCAGUAGGAAGUCUUAUCUGGGACAUCAGUCAGAAUGUUGCAAAAAUGAAGAGGAUGUUAUUACUCACAGUAAGCCAUACUGUGACUUAUGAAGAAUCACUCUGUAUAGUACUCCAAAGAACCCCUGGGAUCUUCUGGGACAACAGCAUUGAAACCAUCACAUUCCUGCUAGACAGGUCCUCUUGGAUGUAGCAUUUUCAACUAGACCAGAAAUCAGUGUUGGCAAAUAUGAAGGAAAAGAGAACAGGAAAAUAUAAACUGCUUAAAAAAUGCAAGCUAAUAACCAUAUUCUUCAACAGAUUGAAAUGUUACCUGUUACCCAGGGUAGCAUUUGCAUGUUUUUAAACCAAAUUCUGGCUAUAGUCAGGUAAAUAUUGACUGAGCUGUGUCAGUACCAGCAGAAAAGGCCCAACAGGUGACCAUGGCAAUGUCAUCCACUGCUUUCUUUUGCAGUGUUCACAGCUGUCCAGUGCCUAAUCCCAAAGGUCACAUUUUCCUAAGAAUCUAUUUCUAAAAUACUGACUUAAAGUGAUGGGACAAAAAAUGUGGAAUGUGUCCUGGACAUCCGUAGGAAAGGAAAUGGUUUAGAAACUUCUGAACGCCAGCAACUCUGAAACAGUAUGCCAGCAAAUCUGCAACACUGAACCUAAAAAACCCAGUCCAAGUUUGUCACAUCCUAUAAGAACCCUUGUACAUUUUCCAACAGAAUAAAUGUAAAAAAAAUUUAGUAGAUUAUUUUUUUUUUAUCAGAGAAAUACUUCUUAAAAGUAUUUAGCAUAGUCAAAUGAAGCUCAUGUUAAUAAUGAAAAACUUUAGGUUCCUGUGGCGACUUGUAUUUAACUGCCUUAAUGAAAAAAGAUUUUAAAAAAUUAUAAUUUUUCCAGAGGUAUAGUGAUUUUUUUUCACUCUCAUAGCAGGAAUCAUUUAUAUGAUAAUGGUACAUAAAAAAAGCAAAUCUCCUUCAAAUAUUAACAUUAAUGCAUAACAUCAUGAACUUUAUGUGAAAACCAAUGAACAUAAUGUUCUUUUGGUAUUCUAUAUCUGUGCGUUUCUCAGCUUAAAAUAAAGGCCAGAAGUGGUGAUAGUUAAAGGCCACAGUUUAAUCCAUAGUUUUCUCCAGCAUAACCAAGUGAUCCAGUCUGUUAUGGGAACCUAGGACAGGCACUUGUCUUAGUCUGGCCUAACAGUCCUGGAAAGGGAACAAAUGUUAACACCAACAUUGUUAAGAAACAUAAGAAUAACGUCAUGCUUGUAAUGCAGAAAGGAGGAUUUUUCUUUAAGUGUUUUGGAAACAUUAGAAUCACAGAACCAAUAAGGUUGGAAAAGGUCUCUAAGAUCAUCAAGUCCAGCCAUUAUCCUAAUAUCUCUAUGUCCAUAUUUUAAUUAUAUUUGUAAGGAGCACAAGCUUACUGUGCUCUUACAUAUUAUACAGUCACUGCAGUGAAGGAAACUUUGACACAAACUACACCUAGCAGAUGAACCAAAGAAUUAAAUAAGUCUAGGUCAUGUUCAUUUAAGAGCUGAAAAGUGGGAUGAAAUGCUCACAUUUAGUCCUGAAAGACAGUUUAUACAAACCAGAAGUCUGAGUGUGAAAUCUAAUGAGGGACAUUUAAGGACAAAAGCCCAUAUUAUAAAAAAUACGGAGAGCAAUGGAAUUAGUGCCCUGCUUCACCUUUCACAAAGCUUUCAGCUCAGAUCUGAUGGGAAAUGCCAUUCCUACUGUGUUUUGUUACUCUCUAAGGACAGACAUUAUUCAGGCCCCUUCUCUGCAGCUGUCUUACAUCCUAGCUGCGUGAGUUUCAUCCCUUAUGUCAGAUCCAUAAUAACAUCAUUAAUAACAUUAAUUCAUUAUCCUACGGAAGUAAAUUUCAAUCCAGUAAAGGCAGCAUCGGGAGGCAUAUGGCAAGAAGCCUGCAGUAAACUAAUCUGCUGACAAACCCCUCCUAUCUGUCAGUGCUUUGACUUUACCAAUGUCUUUUGUUUUUAUCCAGUGCUUCAGCAUAUCACUCCGAUUACGUGUGCUUAGAGACGGUAGGCUUCUGUAACAUUUUCUCUGAAAUUAAAUCCCAGUGCUUUCAUGCUAGGAGUGCAAAUCCCUCCUAGAAAUUCUUUCCAGCCUCUGAGUGCCCUUUAUAGGUACCCUGCGGCUACAGCCCUGCGGUAACAGACCCCGUGCGUUUCAGCUCAGCUGUUCAAACACGUGCAUGACCUGGACAGUUAACACUCUCUCAAUCCUUUUAUCUGUCCCCUUCAGCUCUUUAGAAACAGCUCUUCAUUUGCUCCUCGUUUGUAUCAAGGCAAGUUUGAAUCAGCAUUUCUUCAUCACAACGCAUAAUCUCUGGGAAAAACACUUAUAAUUGUUACGGGAGUGAAGCAAAUAAGCAAGCAAGUGUUGACCGCUGUAUGUAAUCCAAAAGUUUAGUGUCACUCUGCUGGAACAGAGCUGCCUGAAAGAGAGAGGGAAGAGCAGGGUUUUAGUUCCUUAAGUUACAGUAUUAGAAUAUCUCAAGGGACAGGCAUAGUCUCUUUGGAGCAAAUAUAUGCCUUUUGCAUUUUGAGCCCAUCUGCAAAUGAUUCAGAAGGUAUUUCAAAACUCAAAAUUUUAAAGCUUUCUUCAUUCUCCAACUGUACAAUAUAAAGAAUUUUUCAAUGGUAUCCUAUUGAAAAAUGUGACACUACACACACAGACUGAUCAUCCAUUUCACUUACUAGUCCUUUGCAAAGGCAAAAGGGGGUGAUCUUAACAGGACAGUUGAAACUGGAUUUGCUCAGAAAUAAAAGUUCAUGAGAGACAAGAAGGAAAAACACCCCAAAGACUUUUUAAUAAACUUUUCUAUUCAAAAUACCAACCUGAGCAAUUAAUUCAUAUUUCAAAAAUAAUGUAGAUCAUACUUUUCACCUGCCUUUGCACUGCAUAUUACCACUGUGGUUUUAGUGCAUCAUCUGCUGCCUGGAGCUUCAUGAACUGGAAAGAUGUGCUAUCAUAACAAAACUCUGCUGUGACCUGUUUCAUCACAGCCACAUUUCUCCCCACAUGUGGUUGCUUUUUGGUGGUUCAUAAAAGCAAAUCACCCACACAGAGGUUAAAACUACAUGAUGUUGUCUGACAAAAGCACAGCAUAAAGCCUAGCUAUCCAUAAUAUCUGUGUUAUUAGAAGCUUUAUGUCACUUUUUCCAGUCAGAUGGUGCCU